UUUAGCUCAGCUGGUACAGCAUGAGACUCUUGAUUUUAGGGUCAUGGGUUCGAGCCCCAUGUCGGGGAAAA
This is a non-coding RNA of Podarcis lilfordi (Lilford's wall lizard), 71 nucleotides long. The record is from the annotation of a GenBank genome assembly. NCBI's taxonomy places the organism in Eukaryota, Metazoa, Chordata, Lepidosauria, Squamata, Lacertidae.